This is a long non-coding RNA of Tribolium castaneum (red flour beetle), 3860 nucleotides long. RefSeq lists it as uncharacterized. Lineage: Eukaryota; Metazoa; Arthropoda; Insecta; Coleoptera; Tenebrionidae. The transcript has 3 exons. The record is from RefSeq and is a predicted model, not a curated record.
UUCAUUAUUUCAUCUUUUAACAUAGUGACCAUUCUGCAAAUAGAAGAGCCACGAAGGAUGUUAUGGGCUAGGAGUAGGAGAGAGGUAUAAAUUUUGAAUUGCGAUUGUGGGAAAAUAAACCUUAUUUCAUACUUUCAUAACCACAUGUAUUUUCUUUUACUACUUAAAUUUCAUUGGCAAAUAACAGAAAUCAAUGUUUAGGACCUCCUAAUUGUAUUGCAAUAAUUGUUUAUGUAUUUUCCACAUUAAUAAACAAGUCAGCAACAAAAAUAACUUAGUUAUUUACUCGCCACAUAUUUCUUGCGAACAUUGUAAUCAUAAUUAUUGCAAGCUCAGUAGAAAAGUAAAUGUAAUUUGUGCAAUGAUAAAUUACAACUACCAAUUACAUACAGUGUGAAUCAACGUAAUCAUAACACAAAUAACAGUAUUUAUAUGUCCCUCGCAACGUCUAAUUAAAGACACUCCACUCGGAUUUAAAUUUUGUGCGGUAGGUACUUAGUACUUUCAAGUACCAUAAUCCCAAGGCCGUUUCCGAUCGCUGAUAAGCCCCAAAACCUAUUCCAUCCGAGGCUUUUACGGUAGCAGAAGCGGUAUAUGCACGCUCGCAGGGUUGCCACCACAUAAUAACAACCUUCUAUACCGGUCGAACGGCGUAAUCGGUUCGUGUCCCAACCCGCCCACUUUGUAAUUAUAUUUUUGAUGCAUGCCCGUGCCCCUUUUCCCCUUUCGCCGUCGAAGACGUCCCCGAUAAGGAGCCCAGAUAACGCACCUUAUGGCCAACGUAUAGAAAUAGAAACAAAACCAAAAAGUAAAAAAAAUCGUCGAUUAUUGCGUCUGUAAUGAUAAACCGCAAGCACCUAUCUGAGGUUUUUUCUUUCCUCGAUUUUAUUGUUCAAAGACUCUCGCAAUCGGCGAAGAUCAAAGCCUUCGUCGUAUACCGCCGAACAAAUGACAAUCUAUUCGGUUCGGUAGCAUCAUCGCAGGCGGCGACCGAGUGUGGUCGCCUCGCCUACCGCGACAAUUAAAUAACUCCGGAAAACAAUCAUAAAAAUCCCGAUAAAUUCUUUUCUGGGACAUUUAACAAGUAUUUCAUUUAAAUCCGGGACCCGGGGAAUAAAUGUAUCGGCAACGGUAAGAAAUUCCAUUCCGGGGAGACUAAUGUGAGAUUUUAACGCGGGACUGAGCGAAUUAAACGCUCCUGUGGACAGGAAUAGGGUGACGUCAUUAAUGGGUUUCCGAUUUUGGAAAUAAAGCAAUAAUUUGGCAAAAUUUCAAGUAUGGUGGCGCCAUCUCACCGCCGAAAACAAUGAAACCAGAGACAACUGAUUACAGGUUACUGUAAAGUGCACUUACUGAAAAUUCCAUUAACAGAACCGUGCAUCAGUAUAACAAUAAAUCUACUCUGUUGUAAACCAAUAAGAUCGAUUACAUUUUAUAAUUUUUUAUUUCAUGAUACCAUCUGAAAAAUAUAGCGGAUGAAAAAGCGAAGACACCAUUAAAGUCCUUUGUUAUUUUAGGAACGUUAAGUGACAAUCUAACGCCAAAAUAGUAGCUCUGAAAAAACAAUUAGCACUGAAGCUACUAAGAAAAGAACGAAUAACCCAAAUGCACGAAAGUGACCAUUCGCACAAAUGAAAGGAUUUUGAGGCAAAGGACGGUCUCUGCUGAAAUGAACAAUGGAAUUUCUGUGAUAAAAACAUUAUUUACAAUAUUCACUUGACGAAAAAAUGUCGAACAUUUAAAUAAGAAAUUGAAGAAAGAUCUUGGAUGAAAAGGCAGCACAUCGUGUCUUAGAAGAAUUUUGCGAAGAAUUGGAUUCAAAACACUUUAGACAACAGAAAAAUUUUAGUUGAAACCACUGUGAUGAAAUCACAUACUUAGAAAAAAUAAAAGAGUAUAGACGUGAAGACCGACCUAUUGUAUUCGUAGAUGAAACGUACAUUCAGAGCGACCACACAAGUUCCAAAUGUUGGACUGAUGGUUCGUCAAAAGGUCCCUUUACUAAUAUUUUUAAAGAUAAAAGGUUAAUCAUGGUAAUGCUGGAAGAAAAAUGGGUUUUAUACCAAACGCAUUGUUAAUUUUUAAAUCUGGAACUAAACGCGGGGAUUAUCAUGAUGAGAUGAACUCAGAGAAUUAUGUCAGAUGGUUAAGAGAAAAAUUAAUAUCUAAUUUAACACCAAAUAGCGUAGUAGUAACGGACAAUGCAUCGUAUCAUAAUGUACAGCUGAACCUAGCGAGUCUAUAGAAAUGACUGGCUUGAACAGAAAAAUAUACGAUUUAACCCAAGAAGUUACAAAGUACAACUCUAUGAUAUCAUCAAAAGACAUAGAGUACUACAUAGGUAAUAGGUAACAUACAAAUUUGAUGUAUUGUUAGAAGAAUACGGCCAUAAAGUAUUAAGACUACCCUCUUAUCACCCUUAUCUUAAUCCCAUAGAGAACAUCUAGGGAAUAGUAAAGAAUCAUGUUGCAAAAAAUAAUGUAACUUUUAAGCUUGAUGCUGCAAACAUUUUGGCAGAAAAUAAAUUUUCUAAUGUUACUAAAUAUAACAAAAUUUGAGAACAUGUGUGUAAGCGCCGUAACGACAAAUGACGAUAAUUAUUUAAGUAACGAAGGGCAUCUGGAAGUAAUAGUUCCAGGGUGGCGACUCAGAACACCUGAGAACUAAUUAUAAAUCUUGGUGAAGAUAGUUCAGAUGACAACAGUGAUUUUGGAUGUUAAAUUCAUAAAUUAUUAUUAAAAUUAGACUUUUCUUGAAUAUCUGUAUAUUUUUUUUUAAAACAAAAAAUUUCGUUAAUUGUUAUGAUAAUUUUUGUUGAUUUACUGACGCUCCCAGGUCCCUUAAAAUUAUUCCCACUUGUAAAGUUCAUGAAAAAUUUGACACCGUUGGUUUUGUGACAUUAAACAGUUUUUUAUUCUCGCCAUCAAAUAUAAAAUUGUCUCUAUCUAUAUGUAACUCUUGAAAGUAAGGUUUUGAAGAAACUAUUUAAAACGUAAAAUCUAUGUAUUUCGAACUUGUUUAUUACAAAUUCACAUUAAUUAACUUUUUGCUACAUAGGGUGUAUCAGAUUUCAUUUAAUUAGCACACGUAUUUCUGAUACAUUCUGUAUAAACGAUUAAACGUCCUUUUUUAUUAAAAUGUUUUUACGAGAAGUUCAUUUUUGUCCCUAUCUACAUUUCUUUCAACUGACGUUUAUGUCGUUUAAGACUGAAGGUAGAUUUAUCUGACCUUAGAUAUUCGAUAAUACCGCUCUGAAAGGGUAGAAACGGUCACAAAACCCAUAAAAGCAAAAAUUUUUAGUUUUCUAGUUGACAGCCCUACUUUAAAAACCAAAUUUUCUGGAAACAAAAUAAACACAAUUUGUGACGAUACGCAUUGUGCUAUUACUAAUUUUUGCACCGAGUUGUUCUAUUUGUUCAGCAAAUUGAAGUGAAAAGGCCCGAAUUAUAGAAAGUUUGUUAUUUAAAGUUACCUUAAUAAGUUCUAGUGGGCAGGUUCUUGACACAACCCUUGACAUUUAAUGAUUUAUUGAUAGGUCACAACUCCCUUGAAAAAUUCGGUCCGUUUUAGGGAAAUGUAGAUUUGUCGAAGAUAACGUAAAGAACAAUUUAUUUGACAUUAAAAAGUCAAAGCGGCUUCAAAACAAUGGAGAGCAUGACAAGCUUAGAAAACGGCACCCGUCGAACCAGACACUUUUCUAGUGAUGUACUGUUCUGUCAUUGCCCUUUCUGUUGAUGACCACUUUUAGACGUUUAUUAACUCUAGUUACGUACGCGUCAAAAUCUCUUUAGAAGUACUCUUCCGAUAAGAAAUCGUUGAUAAACAAUAAAAAACUCUUAAGUUAUUCAUUCUUACCUUAU